GACGAACGCUGGCGGCGUGCUUAACACAUGCAAGUCGAACGGAAAGGCCCUGAUUUUGUCGGGUGCCCGAGUGGCGAAAGGGUGAGUAACAAGUGAGUAAUCAGCCCUUGAUAUCGGGACAACUUCAGGAAAAUGGGGCUAAUACAGGACAGGAACUACUGCUGAAUGGUGGGGGUCGGCAAGUCUCGGUGGUUGGGUAUGGACUCGAGGAUGAUCGGCUUGUUGGUGGGGUAGUGGCUUACCAAGGCACUGACGAGUAGCCGGACUGGGCGGGUGGCCGGACAGGUUGGGACUGGGAUACGGCCCGGCCUCCUACGGGAGGCGACGGUGGAGAGUAGAACACUAUGGGCGGAGGCCUGAUGUAACAACGCCGCGUGCGGUAUGACGGGCAUCGUGUUGUAAUCCGCUUUCGCCUGAGACGAGGCGAUAGUGACGGUAAUGGGUAAAGAAGCACCGGCUAACUACGUG
RNAcentral lists this ribosomal RNA (468 nucleotides) under uncultured bacterium. Its description in RNAcentral is "partial 16S ribosomal RNA". It matches the Rfam family "Bacterial small subunit ribosomal RNA", at positions 28 to 507 of the family's 1533-position model. The record is from RNAcentral.